Molecule: microRNA precursor, 203 nt
Filed under: Oryza meridionalis
Lineage: Eukaryota; Viridiplantae; Streptophyta; Magnoliopsida; Poales; Poaceae
Description: MIR812 microRNA precursor family
Rfam family: MIR812 microRNA precursor family
Source: Rfam by way of RNAcentral
AAUAGAUGAUGUCGUUGACUUUUUCUCACAUGUUUGACCAUUCGUCUUAUUCAAAAGGUUUACGUAAUUAUAAUUUAUUAUGCUAUGAGUUGUUUAUCACUCAUAGUACUUUAAGUGUGAUUUAUAUCUUAUAUAUUUGCAUAAAUUUUUUGAAUAAGACGAAUGGUCAAACAUGUGAAAAAAAGUCAACGGCAUCAUCUCUU